GAUGAACGCUGGCGGCGUGCUUAACACAUGCAAGUCGAACGAAGCAUUUGCGACAGAUUUUUUCGGAAUGAAGUUGCUUAUGACUGAGUGGCGGACGGGUGAGUAACGCGUGGGUAACCUGCCUUGUACUGGGGGAUAGCAGCUGGAAACGGCUGGGAAUAACGCAUAAGCGCACAAUGUUGCAUGACAUGGUGUGAAAAACUCCGGUGGUAUAAGAUGGACCCGCGUCUGAUUAGCUAGUUGGUGAGAUAACAGCCCACCAAGGCGACGAUCAGUAGCCGACCUGAGAGGGUGACCGGCCACAUUGGGACUGAGACACGGCCCAGACUCCUACGGGAGGCAGCAGUGGGGAAUAUUGCACAAUGGAGGAAACUCUGAUGCAGCGACGCCGCGUGAGUGAAGAAGUAAUUCGUUAUGUAAAGCUCUAUCAGCAGGGAAGAUAGUGACGGUACCUGACUAAGAAGCUCCGGCUAAAUACGUG
This 481-nucleotide ribosomal RNA is filed under the name uncultured bacterium. RNAcentral's name for it is "partial 16S ribosomal RNA". It matches the Rfam family "Bacterial small subunit ribosomal RNA", at positions 28 to 507 of the family's 1533-position model. The record is from RNAcentral.